Molecule: non-coding RNA, 107 nt
Filed under: Balaenoptera musculus (blue whale)
Lineage: Eukaryota; Metazoa; Chordata; Mammalia; Artiodactyla; Balaenopteridae
Source: RNAcentral
GUGUUGUAUGAAAGGAGAGAAGGUUAGCACUCCCCUUGACAAGGAUGGAAGAGGCACAUAAGGUUAAGGCACUGCCACCUACUCGUGGCAUCUAACCACUGUUUUUU